Molecule: long non-coding RNA, 675 nt
Filed under: Manacus vitellinus (golden-collared manakin)
Lineage: Eukaryota; Metazoa; Chordata; Aves; Passeriformes; Pipridae
Description: lncRNA (ENSMVIG00005007263.1)
Source: RNAcentral
CUUGUUCUCUCUGCCUGGCCUGGGGGCUGCUGUGGUGUUGGUGGGUCACAAGCCUUCAGAGGUGUCACUUGGGGUGUCUCCUCAGCAGAUGUUGGGGGUUCUGGCUUGUGCUUGGUGCCAGGGGGGUCCUUGACGGGGCCCUUUUGGGUCCCCUGUGACCUCAGAGAGGCAUGGGGACAGGGGCUGGCAAGGGACAUGCUGAGCUGCCCCCUGAGCGUGUCCCCACUGUCCCUGCAGAUGAAGCGAGCCCUGGUGCUGGGGGCCUCGGCCCUGCUCAUCCUAGCUCUGAACCAGAACGCCAUCCGGGAGCUGGAUGUGUCCCAGCUCCUCGCCAAGCCCGUCAUCGUCAUCCAGUCCUCCGACAACGUCACCAGGCUGCUGGGAGCGCUGCUGCGUGGGCUCCGGGCCACAGCAAAGAUCACAUACCAGGCGGUGCUGCUGGAGAACCUGGGGGUGACCCUCACCCUGUGGUCCACGUGUGGCCUGUCCCGAGGGGGCCUCUACGGGGAGUGGCAGGGGGUCAUCUGCCCCGGGGAGAGCAGCUCGCAGGUCCAGAAGUACCUGCAGCAGCUGUGGAACACCAUCCUGCUGAUUGCCCUGCUGCUCUGCACCGGGGUCAUGGUGCAGGCACAACGCCAGUCGCGGCAGGACCUGUCAGAGCGGGAUGCUGAGGUG